Molecule: ribosomal RNA, 250 nt
Filed under: uncultured bacterium
Lineage: Bacteria
Description: partial 16S ribosomal RNA
Rfam family: Bacterial small subunit ribosomal RNA
Source: RNAcentral
UACGUAGGGUGCAAACGUUAUCCGGAUUUAUUGGGCGUAAAGAGUUCGUAGGCGGAUUGGUAAGUUGGAUAUUAAAGACCCGGGCCUAACUCGGGGAGUGUAUCCAAAACUACCACUCUUUGAGGUAUGUAGGGGAGAAUGGAACUUACGGUGUAGCGGUGGAAUGCGUAGAUAUCGUAAGGAACGCCAAUGGUGAAGACAGUUCUCUGGACACCACCUGACGCUGAGGAACGAAAGCGUGGGUAGCGAU